This 254-nucleotide ribosomal RNA is filed under the name uncultured bacterium. RNAcentral's name for it is "partial 16S ribosomal RNA". It matches the Rfam family "Bacterial small subunit ribosomal RNA", at positions 524 to 776 of the family's 1533-position model. The record is from RNAcentral.
UACGUAGGGGGCAAGCGUUAUCCGGAAUUACUGGGUGUAAAGGGAGCGUAGGCGGCAUGGUAAGCCAGAUGUGAAAGCCCGCGGCUUAACCGCGCGGAUUGCAUUUGGAACUAUCAAGCUAGAGUACAGGAGAGGAAAGCGGAAUUCCUAGUGUAGCGGUGAAAUGCGUAGAUAUUAGGAAGAACACCAGUGGCGAAGGCGGCUUUCUGGACUGAAACUGACGCUGAGGCUCGAAAGCGUGGGGAGCAAACAGG